CUUCUUUACAUUAAUUGAUUUAUCUCAUUAUUCUGCAUAAAAAUAUUAAGGGGUAUUCUGAUGUAAUGGUUCUAAAUGUAAAAAACUCGAAUUUUUUUACAUUUUCUGCAAAUAUAUGUAUAGCAAAUAUAUGUAUGCAAAAGGAUUUACUUCAAUUCAUAAAAUUUACUAAGUAAGUUACAGCGACUGGAAGUGAUAGGUUUACGCUUGCCAAGCGGGAAGGCGACACACAAUAAUAUCGUUUCGGCAGAUCUAUCUCGGAAAAGAUUCAUAUGACUGCUAUUUUUAGAAGCAAGCGAAAAUGUUUGUGAACUCCCAGAAUGAUACUUACAUCUGCUGUUCGGAGCGACACUCGAGUGAUUUCGCUAAACAAGUCAGAAUCGAUCGCCGGAAAAAAAUAUCAGCUGAGCAGGAUUUGUUCGAAUAAGAACAGGGCCCCCCUCUAUGGUCCUGAACUGGCUGAUUAAUGAUGAGCAGAACCAAUCGUGGACGUCACGCAAGCACUUUCUUUUCAUUGUUCACUACAAAGCAGUUAAUUAUGGAUAAUUCGCAUUUUUUUCUAUCAAAAAAUUUACAAACAUACUCUAAAUAUUAAUAAAUAUG
RNAcentral lists this unclassified non-coding RNA (603 nucleotides) under Pogonomyrmex barbatus (red harvester ant). Its description in RNAcentral is "uncharacterized LOC105424071, transcript variant X10". Lineage: Eukaryota; Metazoa; Arthropoda; Insecta; Hymenoptera; Formicidae. The record is from RNAcentral.